UUCCUUAGAUGGUACGUACAGUUACUUGGAUAACUGUGGCAAUUCUAGAGCUAAUACAUGCAAACCGGGUUCCGACCGCCGAGGAGGCGGAAGGAAUGCUUUUAUUAGAUCAAAACCAAUCGGACUCCUCCGCGGGUCCGUCACGUCCUGGCGACUCUGAAUAACUUUGGGCUGAUCGCACGGUCCCGAACCGGCGACGCAUCUUUCAAAUGUCUGACUUAUCAACUUUCGAUGGUAGGUUCUGCGCCUACCAUGGUCGUAACGGGUAACGGGGAAUCAGGGUUCGAUUCCGGAGAGGGAGCCUGAGAAACGGCUACCACAUCCAAGGAAGGCAGCAGGCGCGCAAAUUACCCACUCCCGGCACGGGGAGGUAGUGACGAAAAAUAACGAUGCAGAACUCUUUCCGAGGCUCUGCAAUCGGAAUGAGAACACUCUAAAUCAUUUAACGAGUAUCCAUUGGAGG
This 463-nucleotide ribosomal RNA is filed under the name Brueelia sp. NsBruAriMon. RNAcentral's name for it is "SSU rRNA". It matches the Rfam family "Eukaryotic small subunit ribosomal RNA", at positions 116 to 554 of the family's 1831-position model. RNAcentral also lists the same sequence under 8 other names. The record is from RNAcentral. Lineage: Eukaryota; Metazoa; Arthropoda; Insecta; Psocodea; Philopteridae.